UUCCUCCUAAGCUGUGUCCCAUCUGUGCAGGACCCCACUGAAAAUCAGACUGUCCAACUCACCGGGCAGCCACUCCCAGAGCCCCUGGAACUCUGGCCCAAGGCUCUCUGACUGACUCCUUCCCAGAUCUUCUUGGCUUAGUGGCUGAAGACUGACACUGCCUAAUUGCCUCAGAAGCUUCCCGGACCAUCACAGAUGCUUUCUGUAACUCUUAUAGUAGAGGAAGACAGGAAUGUCAGGCCUCUGAGACCAAGCUAAGCCAUCAUAUCCCCUGUGACCUGCACAUCAUAUACAUCCAGAUGGCCUGAAGUAACUGAAGAAUCACAAAAGAAGUGCAAAUGGCCUGUUCCUGCCUUAACUGAUGACAUUACCUUGUGAAAUUCCUUCUCCUGGCUCAUCCUGGCUCAAAAGGUCCCCCACUGAGCACCUUGUGACCCCCACCCCUGCCACCCAGAGAACAACCCCCUUUGACUGUAAUUUUCCACUACCUACCCAAAUCCUAUAAAACGGCCCCACCCCUAUCUCCCUUUGCUGACUCUCUUUUUGGACUCAGCCCACCUGCACCCAGGUGAAAUAAACAGCCUAGUUGCUCACACAAAUCCUGCUUGGUGGUCUCUUUACACGGACACGAGUGAAA
RNAcentral lists this long non-coding RNA (637 nucleotides) under Homo sapiens (human). RNAcentral's name for it is "HSALNT0393663". Lineage: Eukaryota; Metazoa; Chordata; Mammalia; Primates; Hominidae. The record is from RNAcentral.